CAAUAAUCAAUUUAAUUCUUGCAUGUUAACAACUAGAGAAAAUUCAGCAAGAAUGAUAUUCAAAGGGAUGUUUGUUGCAGCCGCUUUUAUACUAAUAACUGGAUACGGGUUGGGAUCUUUCGUUGUCUGAACUGAACCCACUUGCGCAAGACUUUUUCGAAGAGGCAGAGUCGGGGUUUUCGGAUGCCUCAAGCUGAAAGUAGAAAAUUAUAUUCAGAAAACCUUUGCUCGGAAGAGAAUGGUUCCUGGCUGUCUUGCUUGAUAACCUAUGAUUUAAGCAAGCGAGACUGUAAUUUAAUGAAUGAAUUCAUGCAAGAUUACUUCUCCGAUGAACGUACAAUUGGGCAAACUAUAUACGAUCGUAUGUGCUGUAAAACAAAAUCUGAAUGAGGAUUACAAGCACUUUUCAAAUAUCUUGGCAAUCUUCCCCUCGGUCCAGAAAUCAACUCAAUAUACCAUCUCAAAACACAUUUCUGGACUUAUAUGCUCGAUAAUUGACGGUAUAUCUAUUAAUUAAUGGUCAUGCAUUCUUGGGUGCAAUAGCCGGAAUUUUCUUGCUUAUUGGAAAAUUCGUUUGGAAAAAAAUGGUGGUGUUGGAAGAAGUCUCAGAAAAGGAAGCGAAAGCUAUAUGCAUAUUGAUCCGAAUUUACAAUCUUUCAAAAUUCUAAAUAUUUUAAAUAUUUAAUUUAAUAUGAACCUGGUAUAGACACCGUUAUAUUCUGGGAAUUAUCAAACCCAUAAACUCCAAAACUAUUAGCGAAUCAACAACUUUAUUUUUACCCAGAUGCAUUCCGGAAAUUACAAUAUUUCUCGCCCAGUUAUCAUUCUUUCAUACAAGCCAUUCGAUUAUCAUCGAUAUCACUAACACUUUUUCGAUACACUCACACAAGUUUUUUAAUAUUCAAACCGUUUUUUUCUAUUUCCACAAUAAAAUAAUUUUUCUCUUAUUUUUAAAAAACAUUAUUCUUUAAAUUCUUUAAAAAGUUAACCUAAUUAAAUGUUCAAUUAUUGCAGUAUUCUUUUUUAACCAUACACAUUAUGCAAAGUCUUGCUCGUUCUUUCACGCCACAUUUAUGAAUCUCGUGAGUAAGAUGAGAAACAACCAAUGAAACUAAUGACUGUAGCUGCAAGAACUGUACAUAAUGUGUAUGGUUAAAGAAAAGAACACAGCUACUGUAAUAAUUGAAUAUAAAAUUACAGUAAGACGCUGCCUCGCUUAAUGCUGAUUCGAUAUAACGCAGUCUGUUCGAAGGCUUAAAAUAAAAGCUCAAAAUUUAAGCCGAUUUAAAUUAUCGCGACAUUUCAUUCAUUCGUAUAUAAUACGAUUAUUUGUGAACAAAUACCAAUCAGCAAAAGGUGGCAAAAAGGUUUACUUUCUUUAAAUCUAUGUUUGGUGCAAUUCUGGAAAAAAUAUGACAUCAUGGAUGCCAUAGGAAAUAUCGACUUCGCGUUGGCAAGAAUUAACCGAUAAAUGCACUAACGAAGUGUGAAAGAAGUUAUGGCUGAAGAUAUCCAAGAAUUCUCGACGAGAAGAGCCUAUCGUUGUAUCGCUAGUUGACCAAAUUGUCAACCUAAUCGAUAUAGCAGGACUAGGAGAUAUAGACGAGUAGGAUAUUGAGGAGUUACAGCAGGUUUCUGAUGAGAGCCUUAUCAACGACGACCUUCAAGAGCUGGCAGAACAUGGAAUUCGCGUGGAACUGGAAAAUAGAGAUUCUGAAAACGAAGAACCCAAAAGUUUCUCUGUAGAUUUCCUUAGUAAA
Molecule: long non-coding RNA, 1760 nt
Organism: Centruroides sculpturatus (bark scorpion)
Lineage: Eukaryota; Metazoa; Arthropoda; Arachnida; Scorpiones; Buthidae
Exons: 3
Source: RefSeq, a predicted model, not a curated record